This 1475-nucleotide unclassified non-coding RNA is filed under the name Melitaea cinxia (Glanville fritillary). RNAcentral's name for it is "misc RNA ENSMCXG00005006829.1". The record is from RNAcentral. Lineage: Eukaryota; Metazoa; Arthropoda; Insecta; Lepidoptera; Nymphalidae.
AAAAGUCUAGUACAAACAAUUGUUGACGAGAACAAUUGGAAAAGGCUCAUAAAGUUUGCACAUCAAUUUAUGUGUUAACUACAUGAAUUUAUAUUCAUAUCAUGUAACCAUUAUAUUAAAAAUAAUAUUUACAAAUACGAUAGGAUCAUAAUUUUCUUUCAAAACUUAUCACUAAACUUCUGAUCUUCUUAAUUUUCUGGAUAACUUUUUAUUUGAUGCUUUUGGGAACUGGACGGAGUUUAACAGGACAAAGUUACGUGAAAUUCUCAUAUUAACUGAUACAAAGUUAGUAUUGGCUAAUAUAAUGGGUCAUGUAUUGGCAUUGGGUUGCCAGCAAUUGGUUGGGUUAUGUUAACUAAUGUUCCCUUGCAAGUUUCAACAAUGCGACAAAUGAUUGUAUAACAAAGAUAUUUAUUGGUCGGUCGGUCUGUAACGCUUGGAGAAAAUGGAUAAAGAAGUUUAACGUAUAUCUAAAGGCAUCUGGAGUUUAUAAGGUAUGGUCAAGCCAGUCUCCUCAUAAACUUCUGCAAGGUCAAGUUACUUCCCCAUUUGGGCUACACCCGAUUUUGAGCAGAAUAUUUCCUACUGUCUGUAUGAGAAUACGGCAGUUAAACAAAACUAGAACAAAUUGCCAAUGAUAACACUAACCAAAGGUUAAAAACUUUUACAUGCUACCGAAUAUUCCGAACAAAGUCGGUCCUAUUCCUGUACUUAAAGAUAAAUAGACGUCAACUUUCAAUAGGCCAUUGUAAAAUAUACCGUGUCGAGACAACAAUGGACAUUUUCGCGGUCUCAAUAGACCUGUCAGCUGUUUCUUAGAUGUAUUUUUCAUAAUUUAAACACUCUUUUAUACAAAUGUAAGAAAUAUAAAUGUUUUAAUAAUGAUAUAUUGUUUUGCUUGUGUUGAACUUACAUUGAUGUAAUAUUGUAACAUGUAUUUUCGUAUGUCUGUGUGUAUCUUUUUAAAUAUUCCUUGAAAAACAUUUUUAAAAUAUUUUAUUCUUGUUUUUUUUUAUGUUAUAGAGUAAACCAAUAGCCAUAUUUUUAAAAACUAAUUAAUACUCUUAUUAUAUAAAAAAUAAUAAAUUAAAAUGUAUUUCUUAACCUCGUAAAUCGAUGUUUAUUAUUUCGAUCAAUAAUAGAAUUGGCUCCCGCGUAUCUUUUGUACUCCCUUAACAAAGAAAUGAAUUAGAGGCCAAUAUGCCGCACAGUUCCGCUUUCAAUUGGCGAAUGUAUGCUUUUCAGAACAACUUCAGAGGGUGAUAAAGACCUUUUUUUUUCCUUUACUAAAAUGGUAUGAAUUUUCUUAAUAAAUAAUUAAAGCUUUAGCCUUAAAAUCUUUCGCGUUUGCUUUUUCUGCCAAUAUUUAAAAUCGUAAGAAAUGCCAGAAUAUUUUAUCUUGGGCAGAUGGCAGGGCAAGAGUCAUCUUUGAUCACCUAAAGUUAUAGACACCAGAAAAAUCUCGAUGAAUCUUU